Molecule: long non-coding RNA, 613 nt
Filed under: Androctonus crassicauda
Lineage: Eukaryota; Metazoa; Arthropoda; Arachnida; Scorpiones; Buthidae
Source: RNAcentral
UAUUCUUAUAGCCUGCCUUCAAUUUUGAUCCUUUCUUUCUAUUUGUCAGGUGCACAGGAUUACCUUUUUUAGCCUCUGUCUUGUCACCAACCAUUCCUACUUGGUGGCCAUGUACUGGGGGAAAAGGCCGCAUGAUCUUUCUGGCUCCACUCAAUGUCUAAGGACACCCUGCUUCCUCUGCUUGCAUCCCACAGACUAUUUCCCUCUUCCUAUUCACUGCAGUGAAUCUCUCCUGAGUUGAUGAGAUUGUGUUACCUCCCUAUACACCCUACCUAUCCUGAAUGGUCUGUCAUUGUCUUUGCCUUUAAAUUCCUCCCCUUCCUCUCUUUAAAUAAUGAUGGGGCUAAGUAAUACCCAAAGCUCACCCUACUCCUCAGUACCUUGCAGAAAACACCAAACAAAAAUAACCAUUUUAAAAGAGGUGUAUUUUUUUUUUCUUCUAGAAUGUAAGCUCCUCAAGAGCAGGGACAAUGUUUUCUGUAUGUUCUAUUGUGCCUAGUACACUGUAAAUGCUCAAUAAAUACUGAUGAUGGGAGGCAGUGAGUCUUGAUGAUAAGGGUGAGAAACUGAAAUCCCAAAUACUGUUUUGUUGUUUGUUUUAUUAUGACCUCAG